This 1149-nucleotide ribosomal RNA is filed under the name uncultured bacterium. RNAcentral's name for it is "bacterial SSU rRNA". It matches the Rfam family "Bacterial small subunit ribosomal RNA", at positions 340 to 1501 of the family's 1533-position model. The record is from RNAcentral.
UACGGGAGGCAGCAGUGAGGAAUAUUGGUCAAUGGGCGGAAGCCUGAACCAGCCAUCCCGCGUGAAGGAAGAAGGCCCUACGGGUUGUAAACUUCUUUUCUGUUUGAAGAAUAAGCCCGUCGAGACGGGUGAUGCCGGUAGGACAGGAAUAAGCAUCGGCUAACUCCGUGCCAGCAGCCGCGGUAAUACGGAGGAUGCAAGCGUUAUCCGGAUUUAUUGGGUUUAAAGGGUGCGCAGGUUGUUAAAUAAGUCAGUGGUGAAAGUCUGUCGCUUAACGGUAGGAUUGCCAUUGAUACUGUUUAACUUGAAUAUGGAUGAGGUAGGCGGAAUGUGUAGUGUAGCGGUGAAAUGCAUAGAUAUUACACAGAACACCGAUUGCGAAGGCAGCUUACUAAUCCAUUAUUGACGCUGAGGCACGAAAGCGUGGGGAUCAAACAGGAUUAGAUACCCUGGUAGUCCACGCCGUAAACGAUGAUCACUCGCUGUUUGCGAUAUACAGUAAGCGGCUAAGCGAAAGCGUUAAGUGAUCCACCUGGGGAGUACGAUCGCAAGGUUGAAACUCAAAGGAAUUGACGGGGGCCCGCACAAGCGGAGGAACAUGUGGUUUAAUUCGAUGAUACGCGAGGAACCUUACCUGGGCUUAAAUGGGGAGUGACAGCUGCUGAAAGGUGGUUUUCUUCGGACACUCUCCAAGGUGCUGCAUGGUUGUCGUCAGCUCGUGCCGUGAGGUGUCGGGUUAAGUCCCAUAACGAGCGCAACCCUUACUGUUAGUUGCCAGCGCGUCAAGGCGGGGACUCUAGCGGGACUGCCACCGUAAGGUGAGAGGAAGGUGGGGAUGACGUCAAAUCAGCACGGCCCUUAUGUCCAGGGCUACACACGUGUUACAAUGGCCGGUACAAAGGGCAGCUACACUGCGAAGUGAUGCUAAUCUCUAAAGCCGGUCCCAGUUCGGAUCGAAGUCUGCAACCCGACUUCGUGAAGUUGGAUUCGCUAGUAAUCGCGCAUCAGCCAUGGCGCGGUGAAUACGUUCCCGGGCCUUGUACACACCGCCCGUCAAGCCAUGGGAGCUGGGGGUACCUGAAGUCUGCAACCGCAAGGAGCGGCCUAAGGUAAAACUGGUGACUGGGGCUAAGUCGUAACAAGGUAACC